Salvelinus namaycush (lake trout) is the source of this 529-nucleotide long non-coding RNA. RefSeq lists it as uncharacterized. Lineage: Eukaryota; Metazoa; Chordata; Actinopteri; Salmoniformes; Salmonidae. The record is from RefSeq and is a predicted model, not a curated record. The transcript is spliced from 4 exons.
GCAGACAGACCAUCCUGAAUAUUGUGAACCUAAUGCGUGCUGUGUCUACCUACUCGCCUGUGUGGGAGCAACUGGGAACAAUCUGUUCAGACUACUUUUUCCACAGAAUAUUCUAGAAGGUUUAUCCUAGAACCGAAUAACAAUAUUUCAGGGCCACCACAGUAAGAUACUGACCAUGGGAGAUUGCAUCUCAGUCCGUGUUCUGCUAAUGCUUCUGGCCCUAAUCAGCUAUCUAAUUGCACUGACAUUCAACAUAUUGGCUCUAUUUGGGCCCUGGACAGGUGCUUUCAUGCAAACCACACAGUAUGUACUGAGCAAGUCCACUACGCACCUAACCCCAGAUAGAUGGGUACUCUUUCUAUGGGACGUCCUUAACGUUUGGUUGAUCGGCAUGUUCAUCUAUCUGAUACACAAUCUCCGUAGAAGGGAAGCUUAUACAUGGAUGUACACCACUCCUGCUGUCCUGCCCUAUGGAUUCUACUUGUCCUGGAUUGUAAAUAGCAUGUUGAAUAUGGCAUGGUUAUUUCUG